RNAcentral lists this ribosomal RNA (499 nucleotides) under uncultured bacterium. RNAcentral describes it as "partial 16S ribosomal RNA". It matches the Rfam family "Bacterial small subunit ribosomal RNA", at positions 28 to 507 of the family's 1533-position model. The record is from RNAcentral.
GACGAACGCUGGCGGCGUGCUUAACACAUGCAAGUCGAACGGGCCCGCCCCUGUUUUUGGGGGUGGGUUGAGUGGCGAACGGGUGAGUAUCACGUGAGUAACCUGCCCCCUGCUCCUGGAUAACUGCUUGAAAGGGCGGCUAAUACGGGGUGUGCCGGCUGGUCCGCAUGGGCCUGGUCGGGAUAGUUUCAUCUUCGGGUGUUUCGGUGGGGGAUGGGCUCGCGGCCUAUCAGCUUGUUGGGGGGGGGAUGGCCCACCAAGGCGGUGGCGGGGAGCCGGCCUGAGAGGGUGGGCGGCCACACUGGGACUGAGACACGGCCCAGACUCCUGCGGGAGGCAGCGGUGGGGGGUAGGGCACAAUGGGCGGAAGCCUGAUGCAGCGGCGUCGCGUGAGGGAUGGAGGCCUUCGGGUUGUGAACCUCUUUCUCCGGUGGUGAAGGCCCUGUCCGUUGCGGCGGGGUUGACGGUAGCCGGGUAUGAAGCGCCGGCUAACUACGUG